Molecule: long non-coding RNA, 1035 nt
Filed under: Fukomys damarensis (Damara mole-rat)
Lineage: Eukaryota; Metazoa; Chordata; Mammalia; Rodentia; Bathyergidae
Description: lncRNA (ENSFDAG00000024451.1)
Source: RNAcentral
GCCCCUCAGGUCCUGAAUGACCGGAAAUGGCCCCAACCUAUGAUUGAGUGAGGCUGAAAGGGCUGCUUUUAGCUCCAGCUGUUUUCUUUUAAAAUCUUAGGAUGGAACUCAGGCCUCGAGGCUGAGCCUAUUUUUAAAGUAAAACUUCCUCCGUAGGAAAGGAUGUACUCUGCUCAGGGUACGUUGUAACACCUAAAGUCUCACUUCCACUCCACGGAGCGUGAACAGCCAAAAGGGCCUUCACCAUGCUGAGUCCUAUAGCCCAACGACGGCUCCGGAUGCAAGACCCAGGGCCUUACUUCCGGGAGCCUUGAACACCCCAAAAGGCCUCCAAGAUGUUGGGACCUAACUCAGUGAGGCUCCGGAAGCUCGACAAGAACACACCAGGUCCAGGAAGGAUAAAGACAAUCCAAGAAAGGGAGACCCAUUGUGAAGUUAUCCAACCAGAAAUGCACAGAGGUAAAAUAUUGUUUCCCUUUUUCAAGUGCUCCAACAUAGAUUCAUCUUCCAGGGAGAGGCACUAUUGGGACAUUUCCUAUCAGUCAGCCCCAGAUACCUGGCUUAGACUACAAAAACUUCAGAUGGGGCCACAGACACCUAUGGCCCAACAGCUGGACAUGACCUUUUCUUUGAUCAACAAUUGGAACCCAGAAGAGUGACAAAGAGAGAGGCUAAGAUUAAAGCUGUCUCAACUAGUAAUGCUUUAAACCCAUUCAUAUCAUCUAAGGAAAAAAAAAAAAGGAAGGAUAACCAAGGAAAGGGUUCUUACUUCAAGUGCAAAGGAACUAGACACUGGGCACAAAAUUGCACCAAGCCUCUGCCUGGGCCCUGCUCUGUAUGUGAGACAGCUAAUGCACCUGACUCAUGACAUUGGAUCUUUGAGUAUCUCUGCUCCCAGAGAGGGGCUAGGCCAGCCAAAACCUUCAUUUACCAAAGAGGCUCAGGGGAACCUGCAGUGCCCCUGUCCGCAGACAUCAUCAUCUUCUCACAGGAACCCUGGGGAACCCUGGAGGUCAUGGGUGAGCCAAUUCAACU